This 431-nucleotide ribosomal RNA is filed under the name Escherichia coli. Its description in RNAcentral is "bacterial SSU rRNA". It matches the Rfam family "Bacterial small subunit ribosomal RNA", at positions 1 to 428 of the family's 1533-position model. Lineage: Bacteria; Pseudomonadati; Pseudomonadota; Gammaproteobacteria; Enterobacterales; Enterobacteriaceae. The record is from RNAcentral.
AAAUUGAAGAGUUUGAUCAUGGCUCAGAUUGAACGCUGGCGGCAGGCCUAACACAUGCAAGUCGAACGGUAACAGAAAGCAGCUUGCUGCUUUGCUGACGAGUGGCGGACGGGUGAGUAAUGUCUGGGAAACUGCCUGAUGGAGGGGGAUAACUAUUGGAAACGGUAGCUAAUACCGCAUAACGUCGCAAGACCAAAGAGGGGGACCUUCGGGCCUCUUGCCAUCGGAUGUGCCCAGAUGGGAUUAGCUAGUAGGUGGGGUAAAGGCUCACCUAGGCGACGAUCCCUAGCUGGUCUGAGAGGAUGACCAGCCACACUGGAACUGAGACACGGUCCAGACUCCUACGGGAGGCAGCAGUGGGGAAUAUUGCACAAUGGGCGCAAGCCUGAUGCAGCCAUGCCGCGUGUAUGAAGAAGGCCUUCGGGUUGUAA